Molecule: ribosomal RNA, 485 nt
Filed under: uncultured bacterium
Lineage: Bacteria
Description: partial 16S ribosomal RNA
Rfam family: Bacterial small subunit ribosomal RNA
Source: RNAcentral
AUUGAACGCUGGCGGCAGGCUUAACACAUGCAAGUCGAGCGGGGGAAGGUAGCUUGCUACCGGACCUAGCGGCGGACGGGUGAGUAAUGCUUAGGAAUCUGCCUAUUAGUGGGGGACAACAUCUCGAAAGGGAUGCUAAUACCGCAUACGUCCUACGGGAGAAAGCAGGGGAUCUUCGGACCUUGCGCUAAUAGAUGAGCCUAAGUCGGAUUAGCUAGUUGGUGGGGUAAAGGCCUACCAAGGCGACGAUCUGUAGCGGGUCUGAGAGGAUGAUCCGCCACACUGGGACUGAGACACGGCCCAGACUCCUACGGGAGGCAGCAGUGGGGAAUAUUGGACAAUGGGGGGAACCCUGAUCCAGCCAUGCCGCGUGCGUGAAGAAGGCCUUAUGGUUGUAAAGCACUUUAAGCGAGGAGGAGGCUACUUUAGUUAAUACCUAGAGAUAGUGGACGUUACUCGCAGAAUAAGCACCGGCUAACUCUGUG